UACGUAGGUGGCAAGCGUUGUCCGGAUUUACUGGGUGUAAAGGGCGUGCAGCCGGGAAGGCAAGUCAGAUGUGAAAUCUGGAGGCUCAACCUCCAAACUGCAUUUGAAACUGCUUUUCUUGAGUAUCGGAGAGGUAAUCGGAAUUCCUUGUGUAGCGGUGAAAUGCGUAGAUAUAAGGAAGAACACCAGUGGCGAAGGCGGGUUACUGGACGACAACUGACGGUGAGGCGCGAAAGCGUGGGGAGCAAACAGGAUUAGAGACCCUGGUAGUCCACGCUGUAAACGAUCAAUACUAGGUGUGCGGGGACUGGCCCCCUGCGUGCCGCAGUUAACACAAUAAGUAUUGCACCUGGGGAGUACGAUCGCAAGGUUGAA
RNAcentral lists this ribosomal RNA (375 nucleotides) under uncultured bacterium. RNAcentral's name for it is "bacterial SSU rRNA". It matches the Rfam family "Bacterial small subunit ribosomal RNA", at positions 524 to 898 of the family's 1533-position model. The record is from RNAcentral.